This 163-nucleotide ribosomal RNA is filed under the name Cremolobus chilensis. Its description in RNAcentral is "5.8S ribosomal RNA". It matches the Rfam family "5.8S ribosomal RNA". From Rfam's summary of the family: 5.8S ribosomal RNA (5.8S rRNA) is a component of the large subunit of the eukaryotic ribosome. It is transcribed by RNA polymerase I as part of the 45S precursor that also contains 18S and 28S rRNA. Functionally, it is thought that 5.8S rRNA may be involved in ribosome translocation. Lineage: Eukaryota; Viridiplantae; Streptophyta; Magnoliopsida; Brassicales; Brassicaceae. The record is from RNAcentral.
AAUGACUCUCGGCAACGGAUAUCUCGGCUCUCGCAUCGAUGAAGAACGUAGCGAAAUGCGAUACUUGGUGUGAAUUGCAGAAUCCCGUGAACCAUCGAGUCUUUGAACGCAAGUUGCGCCCCAAGCCUUUUGGCCGAGGGCACGUCUGCCUGGGUGUCACAAA